RNAcentral lists this ribosomal RNA (292 nucleotides) under uncultured bacterium. Its description in RNAcentral is "partial 16S ribosomal RNA". It matches the Rfam family "Bacterial small subunit ribosomal RNA", at positions 335 to 616 of the family's 1533-position model. The record is from RNAcentral.
ACUCCUACGGGAGGCAGCAGUGGGGAAUAUUGCACAAUGGGCGCAAGCCUGAUGCAGCCAUGCCGCGUGUGUGAAGAAGGCCUUCGGGUUGUAAAGCACUUUCAGUCGUGAGGAAGGUAGUUGUAGUUAAUAGCUGCUAUUAUUUGACGUUAGCGAACAGAAGAAGCACCGGCUAACUCCGUGCCAGCAGCCGCGGUAAUACGGAGGGUGCGAGCGUUAAUCGGAAUUACUGGGCGUAAAGCGCAUGCAGGUGGUUUGUUAAGUCAGAUGUGAAAGCCCGGGGCUCAACCUC